GAAUACACGAGGGGUUUUAGCUCCUCCUGUUUUUUCAUUCCAUGCAUUUUUCUUUUCUAACAAAUUUUGUAUUAUUAGACUAUCAACACAAUUCAAAAUCCCCUUUGGUUGAACGUGAGGACCGCCCCACUCGGACGAUCCGAAGCACCACACAGGAGGAAUUAUCCCAAAUCAAUAGAAACCAGAUUGAGAUGAAUUUGAAACGUAAACACGCCUCGAGCUCCUCAUCAUCUUCCACAGAGCAGCUCUGUUCAUCGGGUCUUCUCCGCUUCCUGCUCGCAGGGUUCACACAGAGAAGCUCGGGUUUCCGAGCUGCAGCUGAACGCAGCACUAGGCACACAUUUUGCGAGCAUUUUUAUUUUUUUAUAUAUCUAAACCUGCUCUCAUGGGCACGCGCUCAGUAUCCAAUGCGCGCUCCCGCCACCCCCUUCCCCAUUACCCCAGCAGGCGCGCGCAGUCGCUGAGGUCCACGCGGUGGUGGGAUUGAAGAGGCUCAGUGGGAGGAACCCGUGGAACCCAGAGGAACAGCAGCAGCUUGAUGUUCUGUUUCCACGUGCAGAAAUGAACCGAGAUGUGUUGAAACAAAUCCUGAGUAUACAAAGUCACAUGCUGCACCGAGCGCUCUCAUUGGACGGCAGCGUGUCUGCGCUGUGCAGUGGGCGGGGCCAGUUAAUUUCCACCAUGAGGUUCAGCGCUGAGCUUCUGAAUCAGUAAUCCCCGGCCUGCAGCUUGAGACCUUCGGAUGAGGUCGAACUCGCUGCUCGACUCGUCAGCCUCCGAGGAGCUCGACCCUCAGUUCACCUGAAGAACUCAAACUACAAACUUCAGCCUGUUUGGAAAUCAUCUCCAAAGUGGCCAACUGGAUGUGACUUUAAUUUAUAUAUAUAUAUGGACUUCAUGUUAUACUUCUGCCUCAAACACUAAAACUCUUUUUGUGUUCAGAAAAGUUUAUUUUAUUUAUACGGUUUAAAAUCACCAGUUUGCCUCCGAUUUUCCUGCUCAGUGGUUUGCAGAGCAAUCGGUUCACAUUUAAAAGCAUUCACUUGCUAAAUUACACACACACACACACACCAACACACACACACACACACACACACACACACACACACCAACACACACACACAAACACACACACACACACGUGAUGCACUUCCCCAGCUUUGGUUUUGCUUCUCCAUCUGUUACAUAAGCGCAAAUGUCCAGAUUUGUUGCUGCACAUACUGAAGUAAACACACUGACUGGAAAACACUGCUUCACUCAAAUGCACACAACACACACACACGCACACAACAAACACACACACGCUCCUUAAGGCAACUUUGCAUCAUCCAAAUGAGUCAGUGUGAUGUUCAGGGAACCAAACAUCCUGCGUUGAAUUAAAGUAAAAUAUAUCUGACUUUA
Molecule: long non-coding RNA, 1401 nt
Organism: Pleuronectes platessa (European plaice)
Lineage: Eukaryota; Metazoa; Chordata; Actinopteri; Pleuronectiformes; Pleuronectidae
Exons: 3
Source: RefSeq, a predicted model, not a curated record